CUCCUCCCAUGUUGUUCUGCGGUGGUGGUCCUCCAUAGUUCGGUGGAGGCGCUCCUCCGUAGUUUGGUGGUGGUGCUCCUCCCAUGUUGUUUUGUGGUGGCGUUCCUCCGUAGUUUGGUGGUGGUGGUCCUCCAUAGUUCGGUGGUGGUGGUGGUGCCCCUCCGUAGUUUGCUGGAGGCCUCUGUCCUCCCAUAUUGUUAUGUGGCGGUGGUGGUCCUCCAUAGUUUGGUGGAGGCCUUUGUCCAUAAUUCUGCCCCAUGGGAGGUGGAGGGGGUGCAGAGCCACCCAUGUGAGGUGGAGGAGGGCCACCCAUGGGAGGACGUUGAGGAGGAGGGCCUCCUGCCAUGUUCUCUCUUCUCCUCUCAAAGUUUCUGCUUCUAUCAAAGUUUUUAGGACGGUCAUUGCGCCUGUUUCUUUCAUUGGCUCUAGCGUUGUUCCUUAUCCAUUCCUCGUGGUACUUGGGGUCAUAAGGAACAGCCUUCCCAUCAAUGAAAGGUUCCCCUGAAAGCCAAAAUUUAAAAUUUAAGUUGAAGUCUCUGAUAAGAUCACUAGAAAGAUGUAAACUCUCAACAAAACAACACCAAUGCAGACUCUAAUACACUAGUCACAAAAUUGAUAUCACUAAUCAAGUCUAAGAUAUGCACACAAACUUCAAGAAGUGUCAACAACUAGUAAUAGAAAGCGGCCAAUGUGAUAAUCCAAUACACAGGCAUGAAGCAAGAAACGAAUCAUAGUGAAGAAAAGUUAACCAAUCCACAAAGUGUAGACUAACUACAGCCACUUCCUCCCCUUAUCAACAGUUGAGAACCAACAAGUAUAAUGGAAUAGCAAAGCAACUCUCUUGUGAUAACACGCAAACCCUUACCUCCGUAGUCUUUGUUUCUCACAUCCAGGUAAGAAUCAGGAAGAACCCAGCGCACCUUUGGCAACUCUGAAGAGUAACAUAAAGCAAUUAGAGAAGACUUUUAACACACAGAAACACCAAAGAAGGCAAUAUUACCUUUCAGCUUGUGAGAGAGAUCUUCAGACACAAGGGCUCCGAAAGCAAAGUAGCACCGAGUCGAAACAGAGUAGAUCUUCAUCCUCGCUUCUUCUUCACUACAACAUUCAAAACCAGACUAAUCAUACAAGUGUUUCCAAAAUGAUUCCAACUAAACUAAACAGAUCACGUCAUAUAAGCUUGAACACUAAACUUCCUACAAGAACAGUCAAUAAAAGAACAAACUUUCGAAUCUGUAGGCUUUACCUGCCAACGAUCUGAGCUAAGGUUUUGAUAUAGCUGUCGAUGAUCUCAUCUCUAGUGGGAUCUCCCUCAGGCGGAUCCACAACCACAAGCCAAUGCUCGAAAUCGCAUCCAUCGAGCAAAAUCGUCUCCUUUGGAGGCCUGUUGGACCAGUUGGGACUCGGAUCGUUCAGAGAAGACGACGUAGCCUGGGACGAAAGGCCUUUGACGGACACAAGUCCACCGCGGAAGGCGGAGGAUAAGGCGGCGACUAAGGGACGGGAUCGGGUGAGGAGAGACGACGUGUAAAGCGAAGUCGCCGGAGAUUUGGCGAGGGGAGCAGAUGAGGAGGCGAAGGAUCGGGUGAAGAGAAAGGAGAGAGAUUUCGCCGGACGGCAGAGAAUGGAGCGAGAAAUGGAAUGCGUCGCCAUGGGAAGAUACAAAACCCUAGAAAGUGUGAUGAGGAGAUGAAGACGAGGGUUUUGCGAAGGUUUAAUAGUGGAUACUGAUACGAGGGCGUUUUCGGUAUUUCGGAGCCGAACAAAAUAUCAACGAAAUAUUCGGUAAUACCCUUUGAUCUUCUCAUAUGUAACAAAAUGGGCCACAAGUUUUACAUAAUAUCCACUACUAAUAUUACUGUAGUUAGUUUGCCAAAUUAGUUGUUUAGUAUAUAAACUAAAUUUUGCAAACCACGCGUGUCAAGAUGUUCCGUGGAUUUUCAAAAGACCCGGAUUCGGAUUCGCACCGUACCAAAUUUUUACAGCGCAUGGCUACUGACCACCGAAACUUUCACAUUCUCUCUCCAGGGAAUUGUUUACCAUUUUUUUUCAAUUUUGCAUGAACAUUGAAUGUGAAUUCUUUAUAAAACUAUCAUUCUUUUAUGGGUUUUUAGUAAUUAAACCCCUCAACUAAAGAUGAAUCGUAAAAAAAACCCUCAACUAAAAAUCCUGUGAAAUAAACCCUCAACUUUAGUUCCGUUAACAUAUGUUACCCUCCGUUUAAAAAACCGUGACAGAGGGUGACAUAUGUUAAAGGUUUAUAAGUUGAGGGUUUAUUUCACUGGAUUUUUAGUUGAGGGUUUUUUUCACGAUUCAUCUUUAGUUGAGAGGUUUUAUCAUUAAAAGUCAUUAAAUGUUAUUAAAUUAUUUAUUAUCAUUUAUACAUUGUUUUAAGAUUUAUAAGCCUUUAAAACUAAUUUAUAAAUUUUAAUACAUUAGUAUAUUUGUAUAUUAUUUUAUACAUCUUAAAUUAAUAAUUUUUAACACUACUUACAACUUAUUAUAACUUUGAAAUAUUAAAUUAUUUGAUAUUUGGAAAUAGUGAUAUAAAAAAAUUUGUGUGUUUAUAUCGUCAUUGUCAAAUAUGAAAUAAUUGAAAGUUUCUAAGUUAUAUUAAGUCUUAAGUAGUGUCGAGAUAAUUCAUCCAUGAAGUCAAUCUUUUUAUUUUGAGUAUGACGCACUUUUUCCUAUUUUCAUGAUUUCUGUCAUCCGGCUCAUACUUCUCUCCCCUCCAAAAUAAUGCAUGAUUAUUCUCAUUGAUUUCUGAAUAACUACAUUAUAUUUUUAUUUUCUUGAUCAAUAAUAUAUUUGAAACAUAAAGUAAUACAAUAAAUCAAGAACAAUAUAGGAAAAUAGGAAAAUAUGAGCUUGAUGACGAAAAUCAUGAAAAUAAGAAAAAAUACGUCAUACUCCAAAUAGAAAGAUUGACUUCAUGGAUGAAUUAUCUUUAACACUACGUAAGACUUAAUAUAACUUAAAAACUUUCAAUUAUUUGAUAUUUGAAAAUGACGAUAUAAACACACAAUUUUUUUUAUCACUAUUGCCAAAUAUCAAAUAAUUUAAUAUUUUGAAGUUAUAAUAAGUUGUAAAUCGUGUUGAAAAUUAUUAAUUUAAGAUGUAUAAAUUAAUUUUAUAAUAGAUUAAUGUAUUAAAAAUAUACAUUAGUUUUAAAGGCUUGCAAAUCAAUCUAAAACAAUGGAUAAUAAAUAACUUAAAAACCCUUUAAUGACUUUUAGUGAUAAAACCCCUCAACUAUUUUUGAAUCGUAAAAAAAACCCUCAACUAAGUUUUUAACAUUAUAAACCCUCAACUUAUAAACCAUUAACAUAUGUCGACCUCCGUCACGGUUUUUUAGACGGAGGGUAACAUAUGUUAACGGAACUAAAGUUGAGGGUUUAUUUCACAGGAUUUUUAGUUGAGGGUUUUUUUUUACGAUUCAUCUUUAGUUGAUGGGUUUAAUUACUAAAAACCCUUCUUUUAUAUGUUUAUAUCCGUGUUCAAAAAUGCAGCUGAGACGGCCGAGUACACAGCGGAAAGACGCUAUCCGGUGAGUAGCCGCGGCGAUUUUGGUAUAUUCGGCCAAAACUCGGAGCUCCACUUUUUUGAAUUUUCAGUGUUCAAAAUCGAAUGUCUAGUGAUAGAUCUAUUAUAAAUGAUUGAAAGCUAUGUGAAUAACAAAGAAAAACAAUGAUAAUCAAUAAAAAAUGAUAUUAACGCUGAAAAUUAAAUCUGAAAUUCGCAGGUUAAGAAAGUAAAAGACGAGGGUAAAUUGGUAAUUUUCAACUUACUAAACAAAAAAUAAUGAUUUAAAGCGAAAAAAACAGAAGAUGUGCUUCAAACCCACGUUGGGAACUUUGAAUACAUAUGGGUAUACCACUGGACCAACAAAGAUCUACGUUUAUGUUGUAAUUAUUUAAUAUAUGUACAUAUAUGUAAAUAAAAUAAUAAAAAACUAAUCUCCGAUUAAUCGUCGAUUAGUCUUCGAUUAUUUGAUUCGGCGCUAGGCCCAAAUCGACCGCACGCAUAGCGUCUAGCGAAAUUUUGAACAUGGGUUUAUACACUAUGGAACUGCUGAUUUUUGGAGAAGUGUUUUUGGUCAAAUGUUCAUGUUUGCAGUAUUUUCACUAGAAUUUGAUUUAUAUUUACGUAUUUUAGAGUUAAGGGAAAUUUGUCUUUAUGAAAAUAAUCUGUAGUUUACAAUUAUUUACUAUUUAGAGGUAAAAUAAAAUAUCUUCCUCGUGUGAACCAACCUUCUAACUGGGCCAGAAGUUAAUGAUUCGACCAUAUACUAACUGUCUAAUUUACAUAAACUCAGUAGAAUAACCUUUGUUUAUUCAUUUAUUAAAGACAUAAAAUUCACACUCCAUUCAGCCAAAUGCUCACAUUACAAAGUCACUCAUCAUCAUCAACAGAAAGAUACAUAAAACCCCUUUUAUCACGUCCCUUGCAGCCUCUCCACAUUUCAUACUUUUGAAUUUACACAAGUGUUGCCUUGGCGAGCUGAACCGCUNNNNNNNNNNNNNNNNNNNNNNNNNNNNGCUGAGCCUUAUCAAACAAGCGUUGCCUUUACAAGCUGAACCGCUUUCUCUCGCCCGUAAAACUUCUCAACAAUCGCAAGUGAAAACUCCAUUGCAGUCCCUGGAGCUCUGCUCGUUAUCACAUUUCCAUCCACAACAACUCUGUGCUCAACGUGGCUCUGGUCCGAAAGUUUGUUGCUCACACAUGGGUGUGUAGUUGCCUUCUUACCCUAUACAAAACAUAUCUCAUAUUAUAACUCAGUUUAAGAUAUAACAAGAAUAUUGAUACUUAACGUUUUCACAAUACAAAUAAUGCACCUUGAGUAAACCAUGAGGCUCAAAGACGUAAACAGGCGAUGCGCAUAUUCCUCCAUAAGGUUUGUUUGCUUCAGCUUGUUUCUUUAACAUAUUCACCAAUUUCUCGCAACUUGCCAAUCUUGGUGCACCGUUAAGACCUCCCUGAAUGUGUUACAUCAAAGAGAUUAGAUUUUUUUUUCGCUUUUGUUAUUUUUUACAAUGAAUCUCUUUGAAAAUAAGCACUCACAGGCAACACAAUCAGAUCAAACGACUUCUCUGCAACUUCAUCAAGAAGCACAUCUGCUACUAACUUAGCUUUGCGAGAUCCUACAACUUCCAAACUGUUACCAACUGCAGCUAUCACGACGUUUGCUUUUGCUCUCCUGAGGAUAUCUACAAGCGCUAUAGCUUCAAUUUCCUCUGAGUCCUCUGCAAUGGGAACGAGAAUCUGAAACAUGGAAACAUUAUCUUUAGAUUCUUUACAACACACUAUGCUCCUAGGAAUCCAUAUAACCAUCAAACAGAGACUUGUCUUGGAGUAUGUUAAAGGACCAAGUGGAGAGGCCGCAUAUGAACAUAUGUACCUGUGGAGUAUCUUGGAAUGACCAGUUCGUUUGGUUAAGCUCGGUAAAGGUAAACUCCUCACCAGGAUUAGGACGAACCAGCUGGUUUCAAUAACAGAACAAGUAAGUCCAAGAGGAGACGACAAAGCAAGUUUGAACACCAUAGCUUAACUACUAUGCUGCUUCUAAUAGAAAUCAUUAAGACAAAAACAUACCAAGCCACUAGAGACUUCAUCAGCUUUGUCUUUACCAAACAACUGCUCAAUAAGAGUGAUGGAGAAUUCAAUGGUGGUUCCUGGUCCUCGACUUGUCACAAUCCUUCCAUCUAUCUCAACUCUUGAUUCACUUGCAGUUGCACAAGUAGCUGCAAGUUUCUCCAUGAAAACCGGGUAACCCGUUGCCUGCAUGCAAGAAAACCCCAAAUUAAUCCAACAAGAACUGAAAACUAGAAGUAACAUUGCUUAGUACUGAUCGCUUAUGACUUACUGUUUUGCCCUCGAGAAGACCCCAAGUACCAAGAGCCAAAGCAGGAGCACAACAGAUAGCUGCGUUAAGUCUUCCAUCUGUGUCUUGUUUCUUCACCAUGUUCUCUAAUGGUUUGCAGUUUUUAAGAGUCUCGCCUCCGGGAAGCCCUCCCUUUUUACCAAUCAUAUAAUCAAUACUAAUAUCAGCAAAACAACUCUGAAGUAUUUAAAAAAAAACAUUAAAAACAGUUAUUCUAUGAACUAGUUUUUUUUUUGGGUAAGAUUCUGUGAACUAGUGUUAUACAUGCAUAAAAGAAAUUAAGCUUUGUACAACCAACUUUAUUUGCAGGGAGUAUUGAACAUCGCUAGUGAUAAUUGAUAUUAUAGAAGCAAACUUACGGGGAGAACAAUAAGGUCGAAAAUAGAGUCGGUGAUAUCGGAGAGGAGAGUAUCAGCGACCAUCUUGAUGUUAUGACAAGCAUCAACGCCAACUUUAUCCUCGACAGACGCCACCGUCACGUCAGCACCACCUCUCCGCAAGACGGUGAUCAUCGCCACUGCUUCAAGUGGCUCGGUACCGUGAGCAAUAGGGAUCAUAACCUACAAAAAAAACCUCGGAUCAUCAAGAUAAACUCCAAAUAAUAAUUAAAAAGAUCCGUUACGUACGAGGAGGGAAAGAACGAUGACGUACCGUCUUAGUAGAUGAAGCCAUAGUUUCUAAGAUUCGAGAGAGAGAGAGAGAGAGACAACUGUAGAGUCACGAAGAUUGUAUAUUGAAUAAUGGAGUUGGAGUUUAGUGAAGAGAAAGGAGUGUCACUUGUGGGGUUAAUAUAGUGCAGAGUCUCCACUUACGACUUUAUUUUCUAUCUCACUUUGAUCAAAAGCUAGACGUACAAGUUAGACGUGUGCGAUGACGUAUGCACCGGGGAAAAAGCAGAUCAUGAAGACGUGGCAAGCCAUGAUUGGUAGAAUGUGGCAAUGUCUUUACUUUGAGUGUUACACGUCAUCGUAUUGGAUAAAACCUAAAUGUCCUAUUUUGCUUUCGAGUCGCGUGUGGUUGGCGAGGAAAAAAGGUGUUGGGACAAACGAGAUUACGUCCCGGUUCUUGAUAUAGUUCAUGCACGUGUUGCUGUUUGUAGCAAGUUGACACUUGUAGCAGAGUAAACCAGAUGAAUGUAUGCGUGAACCGGGAUAUUCUUUUCUAAAAUAGUGUUCAAAAUGGUUUGUGGUUGUGUUAACGGGUCAAAAAAGUACCAACUCCCACUCUCUAAAUAGAUUUCACACAUUAUUCGUUAACCAAAAUGGAUUAUAUAUGACCCCAUGAAAAUUAUUGAUAGGGCUAAAGAUAGCGUGUGAUGAUUUUGUAUGCAUGAAGAUAUCAUUCUUUUGGGGUUGGGAUUAAAUCUUUGAACUCGAAGAAGAAUCGAAGAUCUUGCCUCGUAGCCGGCAGAAUUGUCUUCCUUUUUCACCUGGACCAGUUAUAUAUAUAUGGUUUGGUCAGGAUUUGAAACUCAAAAGUCAUAGUAUUCAUUUUAUUUGAAUAUUUUCAUUAAAUAUAUCUCAAAUGGUAUUUGGAUGUUUAGUAUAUAUCUUGAAUUAAUGGCGCCUACGAAUGUCUUUUGAAUAGUAUUACUAGAUGACAAAAGUAUUUUGGAUAUUGAUGAUCUAGUAUCAUGUGGGAUCAUAUCCGUCUUUUUAUCUUAACUAGUCGGGAUUAUGAGAAUAUUUUUUUGUCUUUUGGGUUAAUAAAGGAUAACGAAUGGCAUUGUCUCGACACAAUACAAGACUGACAAAACACUGAAGACAAAGUCUUGCUACUGUACUCUCAAUCGCUUCCUCAGAUUAUCUAUACAUGUCCAGAAUGCAAUAUUAAAAGAAAACCCACGACUGGUUCCAACUACUUUAACCCUGGUAUGGGUUCCCGCUGCCAGCUCGUUUAGGUGGAUAGUUGUUCUGGUGCUGUGCCUGCUGCGUUCCACCACUCUGCUCCUGGUCGUUGUUGUUAUUACGUGAACAUCCUGCAUUUGGUGGACCUUCUCCCCUGUUGUUCUGCGCUGGUGCUCUUCCCAUGUUGUUCUGCGUUGGUGCUCCUCCCCUGUUGUUCUGCGCUGGUGCUUCUACAUAGUUUGGUUGAGGCCUUUGUCCUCCCAUGUUCGGUGGUGGUGGUGCCUCGUAAUUCUGCUCCAUGGGAGGUGGAGGGGGUGCAGAGUCACCCAUAGG
Molecule: long non-coding RNA, 8061 nt
Filed under: Brassica napus (rape)
Lineage: Eukaryota; Viridiplantae; Streptophyta; Magnoliopsida; Brassicales; Brassicaceae
Description: long non-coding RNA (BNAP_LNC004651)
Source: RNAcentral